RNAcentral lists this ribosomal RNA (251 nucleotides) under uncultured bacterium. RNAcentral's name for it is "partial 16S ribosomal RNA". It matches the Rfam family "Bacterial small subunit ribosomal RNA", at positions 103 to 354 of the family's 1533-position model. The record is from RNAcentral.
CUGGUGAGUAACGCGUGAGGAACCUGCCUUCCAGAGGGGGACAACAGUUGGAAACGACUGCUAAUACCGCAUGAUACGUUGGAGCCGCAUGACUCCGACGUCAAAGAUUUAUCGCUGGAAGAUGGCCUCGCGUCUGAUUAGCUAGUUGGUGAGGUAACGGCCCACCAAGGCGACGAUCAGUAGCCGGACUGAGAGGUUGGCCGGCCACAUUGGGACUGAGAUACGGCCCAGACUCCUACGGGAGGCAGCAG